Heterocephalus glaber (naked mole-rat) is the source of this 491-nucleotide long non-coding RNA. The record is from Ensembl. Lineage: Eukaryota; Metazoa; Chordata; Mammalia; Rodentia; Bathyergidae.
GCAUGGUCUUUGGAGGGCUGUGGUUAAAAUUUAUGCAUUACCAGAAAGAGGAGCAGGCAGACCACGUCUACAGGGUCAGGCCUUUAUUGAUUUAAUAAACACAUACUCCGCGCUAGGCUCUGUUCUAAAUUCUUGAGCAAAUUCUCACUGACUCUUACCUGUUAUUCCUCAUUUUACAGGUGAGGGAACCUAGGCUCAGGAAAGUUGGUCAUGUAUUUGUGAGGAGCAGAGUCAACAUUCAGCCAGUUACCAAGACAGAAACCUUGGAUUUGAAUCAGAGCAGCCUGGCCGAAGACUCUGGAUGACUAUAGGUCUCACUAUGUAGCCCAGGCUGGCCUUAAACUCAAGGUGAUCCUCCUGCCUCAGCUCCCAAGUGCUAGGAUUACAGGUAUGCACCACCAUGCCCAGCAAUAUUGGUUAACCUCUAAGGGAGGCUCCACUCAGAUAUUUAUUUAUGACUCUAACAACAAACACACUGAACAUUACUGAAC